This 10412-nucleotide long non-coding RNA is filed under the name Eucalyptus grandis. RNAcentral's name for it is "long non-coding RNA (EGRA_LNC000388)". Lineage: Eukaryota; Viridiplantae; Streptophyta; Magnoliopsida; Myrtales; Myrtaceae. The record is from RNAcentral.
GCCCUUUAAAAUGCCAUUUUGAAUCAGCGAGCCCAUGUGCAUUCUCCGAGGCGAUGCAUCAAGUCACCGAGCCCACGUGUCUCUUCAAGAUGCCAAAUGUACUCAUUGAGACCACGUGCAUUCUCCGAGGUAAUGCAUCAAAUUACCGUGCCCACGUGUCUCUUUCAAGAUGCCACACUUAAUCACCGAGCCACAUGCAUUCUCCAAGGCGACAUACUUCGUCACCGAACCAUGUGCAUUCUCCGAGGUGAUAUAUCUAAUUAUCAAGCCCCGUGCAUUCUCCAAGGCGACGUAGUAAUCAUCGAGCCACGUGCAUUCUCCCAGAUGAUGUACUAUUCACCGAGCCAUGUGCCUUUCAUGAUGAUUCAUCCCAUUUCUAAAGUAAUUAUCCACAACCUUAAUUCGUACUCAAUUUACCAAAAUAAUCAAUUUAGGAACAUAUCCUAAAAAUCCACAAUUAAAUCAAUUCAGUACAAAUUAAAGCUCAAAUAAAUAAAUGAACUGCGCCACGACAAUCGGCACGAGAUUUCGGUCGUCGGCCAUCUCAAACUUAAUUUCCGAAAAAUAAUAAAUUAAUUAAUUAAUUUCGAAAAUUAAUUAAUAAAUAUUAAAAAUCCAUUUAGCUCAAAUAAGGCCCAAUUAAAUAAACGGACUUCACCACGAUCAUCAGCAUAAUAUUUCGGUCACGGGCCAUCUCAGUUGAAUUUCCGGAAAAUAAUUAAUUAAUUAAUUAAUUUCGAGAAUUAAAAAUUAAUUAUAAUAAAUCCAAUUUAGCUCAAAUUGGUGCUAAGUUAAAUAAGCGGACUUCACCACAGUCAUUAGCAUAAAAUUCCGGUUCCGGACCAUCUUAGUUGAAUUUUCGGAAAAUAAUUAAUUAUUUAAUUUAAUUCCGAAAAUUAAUAUUUAAAUACUAAAAAUUCCACUUAGGCCUGAAAAGCCUAAUUGAAGCCCACUAAAGGUCGGGUUGGGAAAAAUCCCGAGGCACUUCCAAUAAUUAGUAGACCACGUCUACUUGUUAAUUGCGCAAUCAAUUUAUCUAAAUCGCAUCACAAUUGACUAAUAAUUGCUAAUGUAUUCUAAUCUAACAACCUAAACAUAAUUAAUUAAAACUAAACCAACCUUAAGCAUAAUUAACCAACUAAUCCUGGAUUAGUGAGAUUACUCACCAAAUCGCGCGCAAAUCGGAUCAAUCCGACGGGGGCGACGCGCGGAACAAAUCUUCCCAUAGCACGGCUCGGGUUCGGGGCCCGGAAACGGCCCAAAAGCGGGCCCGAACCAGCUGGAAACCCAUUUCGUAGGUUGCUGGACGAGGCUGGCUGGGGCUGCUCCGGUGGCCAAAACGGUGAGGGGAGGCCGGCGGAGGACGAGGGGGAUGUCGGGGAAGUCCGGCGGGGUUGAACGGCGGCCAGAAGUGGUCGGACAGGGCGGAACGGUGGCUGGGUCUCGCGGCUGGGAGAACGCCAAGGUGCGAGAGGCGACGGCUGGCGGAGCUCGCGGCGAGCGGUGGACGCACGGCGCGGGCAGUCCGGCUCCGUUGCGGCGGCGACGGGCAGCUGGCUGCUGUCUUCGUGCGCUUGCAGGUUCUGGUUCAAGCUUCUGCUUUCUCUUCGCUUGUUCGGACGCACGGGGAGGAAGAAGAAAAAGAAGAGAGAGAGAGAGAGAGAGAGAGAGAGAGAGAGAGAGAGAGAGAGAGGGUAGGUAUUGACCGGUGAAAGAGGGAAAAGAGAGAGAGAAGGUAGGCGGUGGGGGAAUCGCACGAGGGGAAAAAGGAGAGGGGAGAGAAGAGAGAGAAAAAGAAAGAAAAUAAGAGAGAGGGAGAGGGAAAAAAAUAAAGUAAAACUAAUACAAUUAUUCUUACUUUAUUUUCUUUUCUCUUUCCCUUUUUAAUUUCUUUCAGUCUUCAAUUUUUCUUCCGAUAAUUUCUUUAUUGAAAUUUCGGACUCGUCAACAAUUUGACGGACGAUGAGACAGGAUCCUAAAAAUAAGAAUUAUGACACGCUUAAAAUUCAAUUCCUGAAAUCGAGUUCAAUUUCGUGGUUAAAAAUCGAUCAGACGUGAUUUUAGUCCAAUCCAACUAAUUAGAUAGCUUUUAGGGAUUUUACUGCAGAUACAUCCCUUAACGGCUUCACCCAAUAGAUUAGUUAACUCGUGAGUGAUCAGCUCAGAGAAAAAGAACCGCAAACACGUUGACGAAAUGCCCAUUUCACUUUAUCAAAACGGGGUCGAAUUUUAGGAUGUCACAACUCUUCCCCUCUUAUAAAAAUUUCGUCUUCGAAAUUUAAGCCAUUACACACUUUGAUAAAAAAGGCGGGGGUACAACUGUCUCAUCGAUUCUUCUGUCUCCCAAGUCGCUCCUUCAGUACCAUGGUGUUGCCAGACCACUUUGACCAACGAAAUGGUCUUUGUGCGCAGAACUUGCUCUUUAUGAUGGACAAUUUGGACCGGACUUUCAACGUAUGACACACGGUCAUCCACGUCCAAUUCCUCGAAAUUGAGCACGUGGGUCGGGUCAGGCUCGUACUUCCUUAACAUCGACACAUGAAAGACGUCAUGCACUUGCGCCAAUCUUGGCGGCAACGCAAGAUGAUACGCUAAGGUCCCAAUUCUCUCAAGAAUCUCGAACGGACGUACGUACCUCGGACUCAGCUUGCCUUUUCUUACCAAAGCGCGAAGUUCCCCUCAUUGGUGACACUUUCAAAAAAAUGUGAUCACCAACUUGGAAUUCCAAAGACCUUUGACGCUUAUCUACAUAACUUUUCUGCCUGCUCUGCGCUGUCUUUAAUCUGUCUCUGAUCACUGCCACGGCAUCUACUGAUUGUUGAACCAACUCUGGGCCUGAUAUCUUCCUUUCUCCAUCUUCAUCCCAACAUACUGGAGUUCUGCACGCUCUGCCAUACAACGCUUCAAAUGGAGCCAUCUUGAUGCUUUGCUGAUAACUGUUGUUGUAAGCGAAUUCUACUAGAUGAAGCUAAUCCUCCCAACUUCCUUUGAAGUCUAUUAUGCACGCUCUCAGCAUGACUUCAAGAGUCUGAAUUGCCCUUUCAGACUGGCCAUUCAUCUGAGGAUGAUAUGCCUGUACCGAAACUUUGUACCUAAAGCACUCUGCAAGCUCUUCCAAAAAGCAGCAGUAAAUCUCGGGUCUCUAUCGGAUGUUAUCGUAACCGGCACUCCAUGCAUACGAACCACUUAACGGUCAUACAGUUCUGCAUGCCUAUCAAGACUGAGGUCCUUUCGAACUGCAAUGAAGUGAGCCGACUUUGUCAGCUUGUCGACUACUAACCAAAUUGAAUCAUUCCCCCUCUGACUCCUUGGUAGUCCAGUCACGAAGUCCAUCGUGAUAUGCUCCCAUUUCCACUUUGGGAUCGCGAGAGGUUGCAAAAGUCCUCCCGGCUUGCAAUGCUGGGCUUUUACUUGCUGACAAGUCAAACACUUGGCCACAUGCUUGGCGAUGUCCGCCUUCAUACCUGACCACCAGUAGUGUCGACGCAGAUUCUGAUACAUUUUAGUGCUUCCAGGAUAAAUGCUGUAGCUACUACGAUGUGCUUCAGAUAAAAUUUCUUCUCUAAGCUCUACAUCGUCAUGUACAACCAAACGUCCAUGGAACCUCAAUAUCCCAUCAUCAGAAACUUGAAAAUCAGCCUUUCUUUUAUCGGUAUCCUCUUGAAGAAUUCUCUAGACAUCUGGAUCUAUCGGUUGGAGUUGCUUGAUUCUGACCUAGACAUCCAGCUCAAUUCUGAGGGUGGCCAUAAAAUUUGAAAGGUGGCCUACCUCAAAUUUGAAUUCCGAAUCCCGAGCUCUCUCGAUUAAGUUCCACUCCUUAACCAAGAUUUGCGCUAUUGAAGACUUCCGACUCAAUACAUCUGUGACCUUGUUCGCCUUUCCCGGGUGAUAUAGAAUAUCACAGUCGUAGUCUUUCAACAAUUCCAUCAAUUGGCGUUGUCUCAUGUUCAACUCCUUUUGAGAGAACAAAUACUUGAGACUCUGAUGGUCUGUGAAGAUCUGAAAUUUUUCUCCGCACAAGUAGUGCCUCCAAAUCUUCAACGCAAAUAUGAUGGCUAUGAGUUCUAAGUCAUACGUCGGAUAAUUCAAUUCAUGAGGUUUCAACUGCCGAGAAGCGUAUGCAACAACUCUGCCAUGUUGCAUCAGCACGCAACCCAAUUCCUUGAAUAACGCAUCACUAUAGAUCUCGAAUCCUCCAAGACCAGAUGGAAUCGUCAGCACAGGUGCGGUAGUUAGCUUUUCCUUCAACUCUUGGAAACUAUGCUCGCACUUGUCUAACCAUACAAAAUUUUCUUCUUUCUUCAGGGGCUUUGUCAGAGGUGACGCUAUCGAUGAGAACCCUUCCACAAACCGUCUGUAAUAACCUGCUAACCCCAGAAAACUUCUGAUCUCUGUCACUGUCGUCGGUCUUGGCCACUUGAUCACGGCUUCUAUCUUGCUCAAAUCAAUGGAGAUUCCUUCCCCGGAAAUCAUAUGACCUAAGAAUGCAACACGAGCCAAUCAAAACUCGCAUUUGCUAAACUUAGCAUACAGAUGAUGAGUUCUUAAGGUCUGGAGUACUACUCUUAGAUGAUUCUCAUGCUCUUCAUCACUUCUCGAAUAGACCAGUAUGUCAUCAAUGAACACGAUCACAAACUAAUGAUCCACAUAUUCCUUGAACGUUCUGUUUGUCAAAUCCAUGACAGCAACUGGAGUGUUCACCAAGCCAAACGAUCUUACAAUACUCUCGUAAAGACCAUAUCAAGUACGAACAGCUGUCUUUCGUACAACCUUCUUCCUGGUUCGUAACUGAUGACUUCAUAAUCUCAAGUCGACCUUUAAAACAUCGAUACUCUUUAUAACUAGUCACACCAUUCAUGGAUCUUUGGCAAAGAACACUUGUCCUUGAUCUUCACCUAAUUGAGUUGACGAUGAUCGAUGCACACUCACAACAAACCAUCUUUCUUCUUCUCACAAACAAAACUGAUGUUUCCCAAAAGUGAUGCACCGAUAUACACGAAUUCCUCAUUCAUCAAUCUUCACAUUUGCAUCUUCAAUUCUACCAAUUCAGACAACAAUAGCUGGUAAGAAGCCUUCAAGAGUAGCUCUAUCCUGGUGCUAGCUCAAUUGCACUUUCUAUUUCUUUUUCUGACGGUGGUCUGACAGUUCUUAUGACAACACAUCUAGAAGUUCUUAGACCACUGAGAUGUCCUCCAUCUCUAGUUCUUCAAUUUGUCCUACCCAAGACAAUCGCCAAGCAACCUUGGCAACCUCCGUCUAACAAACAAGUUACCUCCAGCCAAUGAGAUUAAUGAAAUUGAAGAUUCUUUUCGACUCCCAAUAACCUCGACACUUUCACAUGUUAAUAGACUAAACUUGAUUACUCAAUGACCAUGAUUCAUUAUCACAAGAUGCUCCAUAAGCCCACACUAUUCAUGUGGCAUUAAAUUCACACUUCAGCAACUAAUCAAGCACAACUGUUGCUAAUGAUUUCCCCUCUGUCACUUUUACUUCAACGAUUUAAGUUCUACCAACUCAGCACAAACUCUGCUACGUUAUUCUGAUAAGAUCACCUCCAACACAUUCUUUCUCUGAUCGGUGCAAGAUCAAUUCUACUCUCAUUCCUUUCACCAUCCUAGUGGCGUUCUGGCCGUAGUAGCGAUGUCUAUGCUACCUUAGACUUCCACUGACAGUCCUUCGCCUGAUGGCCACGCUGGUCAUCAUCACAACAGGUUCUAGUCAUAUUCGGACACUGGAUUCAUCCAUGCUUCCUUCUACAAUUCUGACACUUAUCAGGUGAGUCUUCUAUCUCUUGUCAAGUGACAGCACAUACUCUUUCUGGUUGCCCCAUCAGUCUGCUAGGACCACUCUCGACCUCGAUCUUUUCCCUGACCGAUUUCCAUUUCUGCCUUAACUGGAUCUAUACCUCGGCUCGAAUGCAAUGACUCACUCCUGGAUCACAUCUCCACUCUGGAUCUCAGCAGGUGAGGCGACAACAGCAGUUGCAACAUUGACGGCGGUUCGAUCCUGAGCCUCCUGGCUCAUCCAAUUCCCAAUGAACACUAGCAUUAAAACGAUCCUAUUGAACUUAGGAUCAUUCGACGCUACUACACUAGUACCAACCACGGUGGUACUCUUACACUCGAGCUGGCCAGAGCCAACACUCUGCCACAACCACCUUGGGUGCCGACCUUUUUCGGUGCUUCAUCCCGAGUCAUAGAGGACAUUGUCCUCUCACUAGGAGUUCUCAUCUCCUGCUCGCUCAUGGUUCAUUCUUUACACUACAACUCGUCUUCCAAAUCCACACUGGAUUAGAAGAUGAACGAUCCACGCACAACAAACAUUUUUAGCAUUCAGCUAACACAGACAUGCACCGGCAUGAAUUUAAAGGCCUUUCCUACUAACUAUCCCAUGGUCAACGCUCUUUAUCACUCCAAUCUUCAACUUCGCUCUGAUACCACUUAAACUGGAUGUCACGCCCCGAUCCUCGGGCAUGCACACAUCCUUCUCCCUUGGUAGAUUUUAUAAUGCGAUAUCCCAGGACAAUGUAUCGCCGACCCUUUCAUUUAUUAAGCACAUGCGGAAGCAGUUAAAAUCCCCAGACAAUAAAACGAUGGGAUAGAAAAGCAUGGCCAUAUUUUUCAUAUUGAAAUUUAUAACCAAACAUUUAUACAAAACACAAACCAGAGCACUCUACAUGUGACAUCCAGAUUUCGGGUUUUAAUUUCGACUGGAUAAAUAGGGCCGUUUUCGUUCAGUUGAAGCCAGAGAUUGUGAAAUUGGGAUGCAAGUACGCCACAGUGGUAAUGAAAAAUACCAAUUUGAUUGAUGAGGUGUUGAAUGAAUUAAUGGGGGUCAAUUUGAUUUAAUUCAAGUGGGAUUAAGAUUCAAUUGGAAGAGAAUUAAGUAGAAUUGAAGAAAUUGUUGCACAAAGUUUUAUGCCCCGGCGGAAAAUGAAAUUGGACCCAUUGAAGUAGGUUGUAGAGGAAAUGAGUUUGUGGAAGAUGACAUGGGAUGAUGUCAUGUUGGUUGAGCCAAGGAGAAUGAGAUUUGGACAAGUGGAGGGUGGAUAUUGGCUCUUGGAAAGGCACCCAUCAACAUCAUCUUCAAGCUUGGGACUUGGGAGGAGAGGGAAAGGGAGAGCUUCGACCGGAAGCUAGCCGAUCGACGCUGCCCCUUUGCACGCUCGUUUGGCCGUCCGCCUCCGCCAUUCAUCGCCGUCGCAGCCGCUUGUCUGUUCGUCGCCGCCGAGCCAGCCCGCCCAUCACCGUUUGCCGUGCCGUCCGCGUGCCUCGCUCGCUCGCCCAACUGGCCGAAGACCAGCGAAGGUUGCAGCACCGUUGGAGAAGUUGCUCGCCACCCACGCUCUGCUUGCCGUCGCCGGAGUCGCCAUCCUCGCCUCGCAUUGCCCGUCGCCGCUCGCCGUCUCACGCUCCGCCGCCGCCCGCGCUCCCCCGCGGUUGGCAGACAUCCCGAGCUACUGUCCAGCUCGUGCAGGAAUCGCCGGAGCUCCCUCUACUGACUCCAGCCACCGUGAGACCUCGCCGUUGGCCGCACGGCACCACCGCAGCUCCUCCGCCGUUCCUCUGCCCAACCAGCGCCAGAUCCGCCGUUCUCGGCCCCAAAUCAGUGGUUGGAAAAAUGGGUAUGGUAGCCCAUGUUUGGCUCAUUUUGGCCGCCUUCCCGAGCCCGGAUGCUCGGCCCGCUUUGAGGAAAGUUGUUCUCCUUGGCGUCCCCAUCGUUUUGGUCCGCUCGGCUUGCUAAUCCGGUGAGUUUAACUCACUAAACUUUGAUUAGAGGGUUAAUGAUGCUUUAUGGGUGCUUAGUUUAUGUUAAGUGUUAUUAGGUGGUUAGUUUAAUUUAUUUAAGUGUAGAUUAUAUUAAGGUGUUUGAUUAACUUAAAUUGUGAUUAAUUUAAGGUUAAGUGAGUGGUUACAUUAAUAUAAACUGUGAUGUGACAUAAAGGAAUUUACUUUUGAUUUAUUUAAAUAUUUCAAAAUUUUUUAAUAAUUUAAUAAUAUUAUAUUAUUAAAAUAUUAUUAUUUAAUUAUUUUCGGAAUAAAUUUAAUUAAUUAUUAAAUUCCGAAAAUUUUGUUAGGACCCUAAAUUCUCAGAAUUUCGUGUCGGUCGCUGCUGUGUAGUCAGAUUUUGAAAUUGAUGAUUGGAUAUUAUAAAUUGAGUGUGGAUUGUGAAAAGUAUGGAUUUUAUUUAGAAAAUUCCAAGUGUCGAGUUUGGCAUUGAAAUUGGAUUGUAAUGGUUAAUAUCGUAAUUGGAUCAUGUGAGUGAAAUGUAAAGUAUCCAGGGAUCGGUAUCAAAUUGUCGUGUGCUAGUUGAAAGGCUCGAGUCGCAGUAGUGGCUAGGCCGACUGGAUCCUUAUUCUGCUAGAAAUGCCAUCAAGAGAGUGAUGUGGCUCGGGUCGCAGUAGUGGCAGGACCGACUAGACCUUUAUUCUUCUAGAAAUGCCGUCGAUAGAAUGACGUGACUUGGUCGCAGUAGUGGCGGGACCGACUGGACCUUUAUUCUUCUAGAAAUGCCGUCGAUAGAAUGACGUGGCUCGGGUCGCAGUAGUGGUGGGACCGACUGGACCUUUAUUCUUCUAGAAAUGCCGUCGAUAGAAUGACGUGGCUUGGUCGCAGUAGUGGCGGGACCGACUGGACCUUUAUUCUUCUAGAAAUGCCGUCGAUAGAAUGACGUGGCUUGGUCGCAGUAGUGGCGGGACCGACUGGACCUUUAUUGUUCUAGAAAUGCCGUCGAUAGAAUGACGUGGCUUGGUCGCAGUAGUGGCGGGACCGACUGGACCUUUAUUCUUCUAGAAAUGCCGUCGAUAGAAUGACAUGGCUUGGUCGCAGUAGUGGCGGGACCGACUGGACCUUUAUUCUUCUAGAAAUGCCGUAAUGUUAGUAGAUAGCCGACCCACGAGUAGGCUAUGCCAUUGUGUGGCAGUGAAUAAUAAUUGGAAUGCGUGCUAAGUGCGAUUGUGAUUUAUAUGAAAGUGAUGGCGUUCCAAUUGUUUGAAUUAUUAUUACUUGUGCUAACCUGCAGGAAGGAAUUGAGGCGAGGUAAGUUCUCUGUGUGAUGUGGCUAGGCCACCCUUGGGCGUAUUUUCUUUCUAAUAGGGGUUUAGGGGGUUGAACUUGCUGAGACAUUAUCUCAUCCCGGUUGUGGGAUUAAAAUUUCAGGUCCCUGGUAGAUGGAGCGGCCAGAUAGCUUUGGUUGGCCUUGAGAAGUUGCAGUGGUGAAGUCACAAGGAUUGGAGAACGUGUCCGACUUGUAGGUCGUAGGACAGUUCCUUUUUAAGAGCCGGUCUUUCGUAGACUCUUAGCCGUAGACCUCUCUUUGUAAUUCUGUUGAAUUGUGAAAGUGUCAUGUUGUGGUUCUGUUUCCUGCUUGUCUAUCCCGUAUUUCAUUGUCAGGGGUUAUAUAAUACGUUCCGCUUAUGUAAUAAGAAUGAAUGGGGUCGGCGACACUACUUGGGAAUGUCGCAUUUGCAUGACCAUGGUGGGAUGUUGGCACGCUCGAGGUUCGGGGCGUGACACUACAACUUCUUACUCUAAACUUUAAUCACAUCAAAAAGGAGAUCUCAAAAUAAGAUAAACUCUCAGCCAUCCGAGCCGUACUCAAGGCCCUUCUCGGGAUUAUCUUCUUCUCCCAAAAAUCUUUCUCCUUAAGUUUCACCUCCGAGUUCUCCUUCUCAGACUCUUCCUCAUCACCUCCUCAUUGGGGUCCUGAAAUGUUUUCCCCAAACUGGGAUGAGACUACGUCACAGCGAGUUCUACCCCACUAAGCCCGAUUAGUAAACUAUUAUACUAUAGGCUGCCUAAACACACACAGGGUAGAGGACUUACCUUGGCCUCAGAUUCCACCAGCAUAUUAGCACAGUUCAAUAGGCACCCAAGUAAUCACAUCACAGAUCGAUAUCUCGAUCAAUCGACCUAAUCGAUCACACGCCAACAAGACCACUCAUGGUCAUUUCCAUUCAAUCAACAUUUCACAACAUCGGAUCAAAUCAUGAUCAAUCGACCUCGUCGAUUACAUGACAGCCUGACCAUUUCCCGGUCAUUCAAGCUAUUGCUAUUCAAUCUCAACUAAUAAAACCAAUCACCGAGCCAAGUGCAUUCUCCGAGGCAAUAUUCUUUAUCACUGAGCCACGUGCAUUCUCCGAGGUGAUGGAACCGAUCAUCGAGCCAAGUGCAUUCUUCGAGGUAAUGCAUUAAUUUACCGAGCCCACGUGCUCUUUAAAAUGCCAUUUUGAAUCAGCGAGCCCACGUGCAUUCUCCGAGGCGUUGCAUCAAGUCACCGAGCCCACGUGUCUCUUCAAGAUGCCAAAUAUACUCAUUGAGACCACGUGCAUUCUCCGAGGUAAUGCAUCAAAUUACUGAGCCCACGUGUCUCUUUCAAGAUGCCACACUUAAUCACCAAGCCACAUGCAUUCU